This 562-nucleotide ribosomal RNA is filed under the name uncultured eukaryote. RNAcentral's name for it is "SSU rRNA". It matches the Rfam family "Eukaryotic small subunit ribosomal RNA", at positions 1 to 566 of the family's 1831-position model. The record is from RNAcentral.
UCUGGUUGAUCCUGCCAGUAGUCAUAUGCUUGUCUCAAAGAUUAAGCCAUGCAUGUCUAAGUAUAAGCAAUUUAUACAGUGAAACUGCGAAUGGCUCAUUAAAUCAGUUAUCGUUUAUUUGAUAGUUCCUUUACUACAUGGUAUAACUGUGGUAAUUCUAGAGCUAAUACAUGCUUAAAAUCUCGACCCUUUGGAAGAGAUGUAUUUAUUAGAUAAAAAAUCAAUGUCUUCGGACUCUUUGAUGAUUCAUAAUAACUUUUCGAAUCGCAUGGCCUUGUGCUGGCGAUGGUUCAUUCAAAUUUCUGCCCUAUCAACUUUCGAUGGUAGGAUAGUGGCCUACCAUGGUUUCAACGGGUAACGGGGAAUAAGGGUUCGAUUCCGGAGAGGGAGCCUGAGAAACGGCUACCACAUCCAAGGAAGGCAGCAGGCGCGCAAAUUACCCAAUCCUAAUUCAGGGAGGUAGUGACAAUAAAUAACGAUACAGGGCCCGUUCGGGUCUUGUAAUUGGAAUGAGUACAAUGUAAAUACCUUAACGAGGAACAAUUGGAGGGCAAGUCUGGUA